UUUAGAGCGCUUUAAGAGCAGCUUGGUUAGUGAGUUCAAUAAUUCCAAGCAUUAAGUCUUUUAAUGAACUAGCUUUUCUAUCUAUGGGACACUACUUGGAGAAAUCCAAGUAACCUUUAAACUCACAUUUAGA
This 133-nucleotide ribosomal RNA is filed under the name Lichtheimia corymbifera. Its description in RNAcentral is "partial 28S ribosomal RNA". Lineage: Eukaryota; Fungi; Mucoromycota; Mucoromycetes; Mucorales; Lichtheimiaceae. The record is from RNAcentral.